RNAcentral lists this ribosomal RNA (369 nucleotides) under uncultured Eubacteriales bacterium. RNAcentral's name for it is "bacterial SSU rRNA". It matches the Rfam family "Bacterial small subunit ribosomal RNA", at positions 529 to 896 of the family's 1533-position model. The record is from RNAcentral. Lineage: Bacteria; Bacillati; Bacillota; Clostridia; Eubacteriales.
AGGGGGCAAGCGUUAUCCGGAUUUACUGGGUGUAAAGGGAGCGUAGACGGCUGUGCAAGUCUGAAGUGAAAUGCCGGGGCCCAACCCCGGAACUGCUUUGGAAACUGUACAGCUAGAGUGCAGGAGGGGUGAGCGGAAUUCCUAGUGUAGCGGUGAAAUGCGUAGAUAUUAGGAGGAACACCGGUGGCGAAGGCGGCUCACUGGACUGUAACUGACGUUGAGGCUCGAAAGCGUGGGGAGCAAACAGGAUUAGAUACCCUGGUAGUCCACGCCGUAAACGAUGAUUACUAGGUGUCGGAGGGCCAAGGCCCUUCGGUGCCGGCGCAAACGCAUUAAGUAAUCCACCUGGGGAGUACGUUCGCAAGAAUG